AUACGGAAGGUGCGAGCGUUAAUCGGAAUUACUGGGCGUAAAGCGUACGUAGGCGGUUGGUUAAGUUAGAUGUGAAAGCCCCGGGCUUAACCUGGGAACUGCAUUUAAAACUGGCGAACUAGAGUUGAGUAGAGGGGAGUGGAAUUUCAGGUGUAGCGGUGAAAUGCGUAGAGAUCUGAAGGAACACCAGUGGCGAAGGCGACUCCCUGGACUCGAACUGACGCUGAGGUACGAAAGCGUGGGUAGCAAACGGGAUUAGAAACCCUAGUAGUCC
Molecule: ribosomal RNA, 274 nt
Filed under: uncultured bacterium
Lineage: Bacteria
Description: partial 16S ribosomal RNA
Rfam family: Bacterial small subunit ribosomal RNA
Source: RNAcentral